Molecule: ribosomal RNA, 261 nt
Filed under: uncultured Glomus
Lineage: Eukaryota; Fungi; Glomeromycota; Glomeromycetes; Glomerales; Glomeraceae
Description: partial 18S ribosomal RNA
Rfam family: Eukaryotic small subunit ribosomal RNA
Source: RNAcentral
AAGCUCGUAGUUGAAUUUCGGGAUUGGCAUAUCGGUCGUGCCUUCGGGCACGUACUGGUAGUUGUUAAUCUCCACCUUCUAGUGAACUAUUAUGCCUUUUACUAGGUGUAAUAGGGAGCUAGGACUGUUACUUUGAAAAAAUUAGAGUGUUUAAAGCAGGCUUUAAGCUUGAAUAGAUUAGCAUGGAAUAACGAAAUAGGACGGCAUGAUUCUAUUUUGUUGGUUUCUAGGAUCACCGUAAUGAUUAAUGGGAUAGUUGGG